UACGUAGGGUGCAAGCGUUGUCCGGAAUUAUUGGGCGUAAAGAGCUCGUAGGCGGUUUGUCGCGUCGAAUGUGAAAACCCGGGGCUCAACCCCGGGCCUGCAUUCGAUACGGGCAGACUAGAGUUCGGUAGGGGAGUCUGGAAUUCCUGGUGUAGCGGUGAAAUGCGCAGAUAUCAGGAGGAACACCGGUGGUGAAGGCGGGACUCUGGGCCGAUACUGACGCUGAGGAGCGAAAGCGUGGGGAGCGAACAGG
RNAcentral lists this ribosomal RNA (253 nucleotides) under uncultured bacterium. RNAcentral's name for it is "partial 16S ribosomal RNA". It matches the Rfam family "Bacterial small subunit ribosomal RNA", at positions 524 to 776 of the family's 1533-position model. The record is from RNAcentral.